UGAGGAAUAUUGGUCAAUGGACGAGAGUCUGAACCAGCCAAGUAGCGUGAAGGAUGACUGCCCUAUGGGUUGUAAACUUCUUUUAUAUGGGAAUAAAGUAUUCCACGUGUGGGAUUUUGUAUGUACCAUAUGAAUAAGGAUCGGCUAACUCCGUGCCAGCAGCCGCGGUAAUACGGAGGAUCCGAGCGUUAUCCGGAUUUAUUGGGUUUAAAGGGAGCGUAGAUGGGUUGUUAAGUCAGUUGUGAAAGUUUGCGGCUCAACCGUAAAAUUGCAAUUGAUACUGGCAGUCUUGAGUACAGUUGAGGUAGGCGGAAUUCGUGGUGUAGCGGUGAAAUGCUUAGAUAUCACGAAGAACUCCGAUUGCGAAGGCAGCUUACUAAACUGCCACUGACAUUGAUGCUCGAAAGUGUGGGUAUCAAACAGG
Molecule: ribosomal RNA, 424 nt
Filed under: uncultured bacterium
Lineage: Bacteria
Description: bacterial SSU rRNA
Rfam family: Bacterial small subunit ribosomal RNA
Source: RNAcentral